AUCGCUUCUCGGCUCCUCGGAGCUAAGAUCAAAAGUGUAGUGUCUGUUCUUAUCAGUUUGAUCACUGAUAGGUCCUUUCUGGAAGGAUCGUGUGUUAUCUCGGUUUUUGGAGCAGGGGUUUGGGCUUGGAGCUUGCUUCGUCCACCCCAUGCAUCGACCUGGUAUUGCAGUGUUUCCAGGACCGGUGCAUCCCCU
Molecule: small nuclear RNA, 195 nt
Organism: Chelydra serpentina (North American snapping turtle)
Lineage: Eukaryota; Metazoa; Chordata; Testudines; Chelydridae
Gene: U2
Rfam family: U2 spliceosomal RNA
About the family: U2 is a small nuclear RNA (snRNA) component of the spliceosome (involved in pre-mRNA splicing). Complementary binding between U2 snRNA (in an area lying towards the 5' end but 3' to hairpin I) and the branchpoint sequence (BPS) of the intron results the bulging out of an unpaired adenosine, on the BPS, which initiates a nucleophilic attack at the intronic 5' splice site, thus starting the first of two transesterification reactions that mediate splicing.
Source: Ensembl